GACGAACGCUGGCGGCAUGCCUAAUACAUGCAAGUCGAACGCCAAAUCUUCCUGCUUGCAGGAAGAGGCGGAGUGGCGAACGGGUGAGUAACACGUGAGGAACUUGCCCAUAAGAGGGGGAUAACACCCGGAAACGGGUGCUAAUACCGCAUAGGUUUUCCCACCGCAUGCUGGGAAAAUAAAAGGUGGCUCUGCUACCGCUUAUGGAUAGCCUCGCGGCGCAUUAGCUAGUUGGUAGGGUAAAGGCCUACCAAGGCCAUGAUGCGUAUCCGACUUGAGAGGGUGAUCGGCCACACUGGAACUGAGACACGGUCCAGACUCCUACGGGAGGCAGCAGUAGGGAAUCUUCCACAAUGGGUGCAAGCCUGAUGGAGCAAUGCCGCGUGAGUGAAGAAGGACUUCGGUUCGUAAAGCUCUGUUGUUGGGGAAGAACACGGAUAGGAGUCACUGCCUAUCCCUUGACGGUACCCAACCAUAAAGUCACGGCUAACUACGUGCCAGCAGCCGCGGUAAUACGUAUGUGAUCAGCGUUGUCCGGAUUUAUUGGGCGCUAACCGAGCGCAGGCGGUCCGGCUAUUCUGAUGUGAAAGCCCACGGCUCAACCGUGGAACGGCAUUGGAAACUGGCGGACUUGAAUGUAGCAGAGGAAAGUGGAAUUCCUUGUGUAGCGGUGGAAUGCGUAUAUAUAUGGAGGAACACCAGUGGCGAAAGCGACUUUCUGGGCUAUGAUUGACGCUGAGGCUCGAAAGCGUGGGGAGCGAACAGGAUUAGAUACCCUGGUAGUCCACGCCGUAAACGAUGAGUGCUAAGUGUUGGAGGGUUUCCGCCCUUCAGUGCUGGAGUUAACGCAUUAUGCAACUCCGCCUGGAGGAUUACGACCGCAAGGUUGAAACUCAAAAGAAUUGACGGGGACCCGCACAAGCGGUGGAGCAUGUGGAUUAAUUGGAAGCAACGAGAAGAACCUUACCAGCUCUUGACAUCUUCUGCGACCUUCAGAGAUGUAGGGUUCCCUUCGGGGACAGAAUGACAGGUGGUGCAUGGUUGUCGUCAGCUCGUGUCGUGAGAUGUUGGGUUAAGUCCCGUAACGAGCGCAACCCUUAUUGUUAGUUGCCAGCAUUGAGUUGGGCACUCUAGCAAGACUGCCGGUGAUAAACCGGAGGAAGGCGGGGAUGACGUCAAAUCAUCAUGCCCCUUAUGAGCUGGGCUACACACGUGCUACAAUGGAUGGUACAACGAGUGGCGAGACCGUGAGGUUUAGCUAAUCUCCCAAAGCCAUUCUCAGUUCGGAUUGCAGGCUGCAACUCGCCUGCAUGAAGUCGGAAUCGCUAGUAAUCGCGGAUCAGAAUGCCGCGGUGAAUUCGUUCCCGGGUCU
RNAcentral lists this ribosomal RNA (1372 nucleotides) under uncultured bacterium. Its description in RNAcentral is "bacterial SSU rRNA". It matches the Rfam family "Bacterial small subunit ribosomal RNA", at positions 28 to 1381 of the family's 1533-position model. The record is from RNAcentral.